UGCCGGGCAGCUACGCGCUAGACGAUAAAGGCUGAAAGCAUCUAAGCCUGAGGUGUCCCCUGAAAAUAGACUGCUUUUUUAGGACUCAAGUAGAAGACUUGUUUGAUGGGGUAGGGAUGUAAGCUUCGAGGUUUAUUCCGAGUUGUUUAGUCCGCUGCUUCCAAUCGUCCACUAGCAUAUUUUU
This is a ribosomal RNA of Methanobrevibacter filiformis, 184 nucleotides long. It matches the Rfam family "Archaeal large subunit ribosomal RNA", at positions 2807 to 2987 of the family's 2987-position model. The record is from Rfam. NCBI's taxonomy places the organism in Archaea, Methanobacteriati, Methanobacteriota, Methanobacteria, Methanobacteriales, Methanobacteriaceae.